UGGGGAAUAUUGCACAAUGGGCGCAAGCCUGAUGCAGCCAUGCCGCGUGUAUGAAGAAGGCCUUCGGGUUGUAAAGUACUUUCAGCGGGGAGGAAGGCGAUAAGGUUAAUAACCUUGUCGAUUGACGUUACCCGCAGAAGAAGCACCGGCUAACUCCGUGCCAGCAGCCGCGGUAAUACGGAGGGUGCAAGCGUUAAUCGGAAUUACUGGGCGUAAAGCGCACACAGGCGGUCUGUCAAGUCGGAUGUGAAAUCCCCGGGCUCAACCUGGGAACUGCAUUCGAAACUGGCAGGCUAGAGUCUUGUAGAGGGGGGUAGAAUUCCAGGUGUAGCGGUGAAAUGCGUAGAGAUCUGGAGGAAUACCGGUGGCGAAGGCGGCCCCCUGGACAAAGACUGACGCUCAGGUGCGAAAGCGUGGGGAGCAAACA
Molecule: ribosomal RNA, 427 nt
Filed under: uncultured bacterium
Lineage: Bacteria
Description: partial 16S ribosomal RNA
Rfam family: Bacterial small subunit ribosomal RNA
Source: RNAcentral